UUCGAGCUGUUCAGGCAAUGCAUGAAAUGGUAUCAGUGAAUAAGCUGAAGUAUUCUUCGGACCUAAGUAGCACGGGGAGGGAUGGCGAAGAUGAAGUACUUGGCGACGUCAAAACCAUUUCAGACUCAUCUGUACCAUCGACACUCGACAAUGAUGAACCAAAUAUUGUCGGACCAGAAGAAAUUGCGACAGUUGCUUCAUUGUGGUCGGGGAUCCCCGUUCAGCAGCUCACUGUGGAUGAUAUGAAACUUCUAUCCGGUCUUGACGAGGAACUUAAGAAACGAGUAAUUGGCCAAGAUGAUGCUGUAAGCGCCAUAUCUAGAGCUGUGAAAAGGUCCCGAGUUGGCCUGAAAGAUCCUGACAGACCUAUUGCUGCUAUGCUCUUCUGUGGCCCAACUGGAGUCGGUAAAACUGAGCUAACAAAAGCUUUAGCAGCAUGCUACUUUGGAUCGGAGGCGGCCAUGCUACGGUUAGAUAUGAGUGAAUACAUGGAGCGACAUACCGUGAGCAAAUUGAUAGGAUCUCCUCCAGGUUAUG
RNAcentral lists this unclassified non-coding RNA (537 nucleotides) under Hevea brasiliensis (rubber tree). Lineage: Eukaryota; Viridiplantae; Streptophyta; Magnoliopsida; Malpighiales; Euphorbiaceae. The record is from RNAcentral.